AACGAACGCUGGCGGCAUGCCUAACACAUGCAAGUCGAACGAAGCCUUCGGGCUUAGUGGCGCACGGGUGCGUAACGCGUGGGAAUCUGCCCUUUGGUUCGGAAUAACAGUUGGAAACGACUGCUAAUACCGGAUGAUGACGAAAGUCCAAAGAUUUAUCGCCAGAGGAUGAGCCCGCGUAGGAUUAGCUAGUUGGUGUGGUAAAGGCGCACCAAGGCGACGACCCUUAGCUGGUCUGAGAGGAUGAUCAGCCACACUGGGACUGAGACACGGCCCAGACUCCUACGGGAGGCAGCAGUGGGGAAUAUUGGACAAUGGGCGAAAGCCUGAUCCAGCAAUGCCGCGUGAGUGAUGAAGGCCCUAGGGUUGUAAAGCUCUUUUACCCGGGAUGAUAAUGACAGUACCGGGAGAAUAAGCCCCGGCUAACUCCGUGCCAGCAGCCGCGGUAA
RNAcentral lists this ribosomal RNA (449 nucleotides) under uncultured bacterium. RNAcentral's name for it is "partial 16S ribosomal RNA". It matches the Rfam family "Bacterial small subunit ribosomal RNA", at positions 29 to 523 of the family's 1533-position model. The record is from RNAcentral.